ACUUUCUACAAACCUCUGAGAGAAAAUUGCCAAAAAAAGUCCAGCCAAGGAAUGAGUGGGGCAAUUGGUAUAUCUGUAGCAGUAGAGGGGGUAGUUUCGAGGUAUAUCUGUAGUUUCGAGGGGGUCUGUGACGAGAUCCCUGACCCCAGCCGCUUGGACACAGAUGUGGUGCCCUGGUAACGGGGCAGGUGCCGCUCACCGACCCCCGGGUACCGCCGGCGCUCCAGCAGCGAUGCACAGACACCUUCUGUCCUAGCCCACUGCCCCCCUGGGGUGCUGCCCGCCGGCAGAACCCACCUUCCCCGAGAAACCGCUUCCCCCCGUUCCCUCUGUCUCCUCUGGCCCCUCCGUCGGCCUCCGUUUCCAGAGGUCCCUUAAAUUAACCAUCAGCAGCAGUAGGAAUAGUGAUGAUAACAACAAGAGGCGGCGGGGGGGCGAUGCCUGGUGCGCGGAGGGACUUGCCCACCCCACUGCCAACGCACCCGAGACCCGACAGCCCCGCUCUCGGCGUGGGACGCGAGCAGCCCCAAACGCGAGCACCGCUGGGCCCCACAGGCUGAGCCUCGACCCCUCACCCUGCCUGGCCGGGACCCUGAAGAAGGGAGGGCCCUCCCAAAAGACAUGUCCUCGUCCCCCACGGCUGUCUGCCUUGGGGCGGGAGCGGAGGAGAUAAGUGAGUGGAAAAUACUGGGGCGAAAAGCGGGGAGCGAGCCACGUCGCAGUCCGAUGUGAAGAAGCAUUCGUGGCUGCCCCCUCCCUCCACCACCAACUUCCCCCCCCCGUCCCUCCGCCACUUCUUCUCUUCUUCCCACCCGUUCCAGCGGGGCUGGAGAAGCCUCUAAUGGGCUGCCUACGAGUGACGGUGCAGAGCGGGCGGCUGCGGAGCGCGGAGAGGAGGGAACGGGUUGCACAAAUGGCAGUGCCUUCCAGAAACAAGACUCGGAUGAAACUCUUCUUCUGGAAUUUAGCUGAAGAAAAACACCUUAGAACACUCGACCUUUUGCUUCACUUUUUUUUUUUUUCCUAAGUUUCCAAAGAAAUGCAAGCUUCCCUUCUUCUCUAGGAAGAGGUAGCCAUUGCUCUUCUUUACACUAGACAUUUCUAAUUUGUUCCGUCUGUCAAAAUGGGACUAUGAGAGGGUUUUGGUGCAAAUUCAUUAUCUCUGGCAACAUACAACCUAUAAUAGGAACUGAAAAAGACCGUGGCAAUGGAUGAACAAUAGGGCUUCAGUUCAUCAGCAACAAAAGCGUUGGGGAAAUUGCUUGAAUUUCAGAGCACGUCCUCCUCAGCAGAGAGGGCUGGACUAGACCUUGGCCAACUCCCCCAAAAAACUUGCAGAGCCUCACAUACAACAGUUCACUUUCUACUCCGGGGCAUAGGAAGCAUUGCAGAAAAAAAGAAAAAAUAUAAGGCAAACCCAAGCCAACUUUCUGUGUUUCUCUCCCAUUUUUCUGGAUGGAACAUUUCUAACUCUUUUAGAGUCCUUGGAACAAGAAUAAUACUGUGGAGCUAAGCAGCACUUUUAAAUAGGGAUGGCAAGGGGAAAGACGUGAAUUUAUGGAAAAUUGGGAGAGCUUUCUCUGCUCUGAGGGGCCUUGGCCGUGGGGAUCUUUGUUUGUCAUCGUUGGCUCAGCUUUCCCCCUAGAUCUGGGGUCACAUCUUUCCCUGAUAAAGGCGAAGAAAUGAAGACAACUCCUGACAGAGAUGCUUCCUACAGCACACCAUAUUAGUGGGAGUGGAAUAACUGCUGCAUCACUAACACCUGUGAGCAUCACCUGGAAAAGAGUAGUGUAUGGCUAGUGACUUUUCUUCCUGAGGAGAAUGACUGAGAUGUCUGCUUGGAGUUAUUCCUGGAAUUAGACCAGCAUGAGGUCUCCUCUACCAAUCAGAGGUCAGACUUUGUACACCAUCACUGUUCUGCCAUCUUCGAAAUAAUUCUAAGAAGCUGUUGUACAGAAAUGUCAGAGAAAACUCCUAAAAAAAAAAAAAAAAGGAAAAAUAAAAAAUAAGACCUAGCCAAAGAGAGAGCUCUGCAAUCCCCAUAACACAAGGAGAUAAAAAUGGGAUUGAUCCCCUUUGGACAGUGUUGCUCACCCUCAUACUAGCACGGGAGAUGGCGUUUGGAACUGACUUGAUGUACAUUUGGCAGGAGGCCAAAGCAGAGCAGAAUCAACAUCCAGAAGAAAAUGCCAAAUACAAGAAAAUAACAGGGACUUAAUAUGAUUUAAUAUCAAUAAAUUGUUUGAGGUCUAUUCAUCACAGCUUGGACUGAAACACUGCUUUUCCUCCACGUCAUGGAGCCAAAUUGUUGAGGAAGGUUUAUGGCAGAAGACCUACUGACCCUGUUCAAGAGCUUGUUCUUGCUGUUUUCUACAAUUUCCUCUGUGCUUUUUUAUUAAAGCAACAGGUACCAUAUCUUACUUGGACAUACUGUGAUGCAGCCAUCCUAUCAAUCCCCACCUCCAAAGUGUUUUUGAGUCUCAGCACGCAAAGCUUGACUUUGGGCUAUGCCUAGCACAGCUGGUGCCAAAUAAUGUGAAUUUUCUUCCUACAUCACAUAUAGAAAGGCCCUGGUGGUGCCCUACCUCUUCCCUCCUCUUCUCUCAUUUGGAUUUUAUGUGAAGGAAUCACAGCAGCUGAGAUUUGACCUCACUUCUGACACACAUUUCACUGUUGAGCCCUUCCUCCUUCUUCAUCUACUGCCCAACUUGCAGCCUCUCCCUUCCCAGCUCAGAAAAUCUGAAGUACUUUAUACAGAGGACAGAUGCUGUGGGCUUCAGAGGGUCUCACACCCUGGGGCAUCAGGGUUAGGGCAUGUCCCGAGCGGCUGCAGGAAGGGAUAAAUCUCAGGAAGGUAAAGGUGUGAUGUAAGCCUGUGUUUACUAUGCUCCCAUUGAAUUACCGAAGAAAAUACAGCAAAGAACAGAUAGGAGGUACCUCUGACUCCUCUGCUGGUUUUUGCAUCAUGUCCAUGCACUGUAGAGUGCCACAUCCAGUCCAGCCUAUAUCUUCUUGAAGAUUUUAUGAGAUGGGCAAAGGUGAGAAAGCCCAAGAGGCUGCAGAUCAUAGAAUGGUUUGGACCUUUAAAGGUCAUCUAGUCCAACUACCCUGCAAUGACCUGGGACAUUUGACAUUCGAUCAGGUUGCUCGGAGCCCUGUCUAACCUAAUCUUGAAUGUUUUCAGGGAUGAGUCACUCACCACCUCUCCAGGCAACCUAUGCCAGGGCCUUACCACCCUCAUCAUAAAAAAAAAGUCUUCCUUUUGUCUAGUCUGCAACCCAUCUUUUUGUAGCUUAAAACCAUUUCCCCCCAUGCUGUCACUACAGGGCCUAUUAAAAAGUCUGUCGCCACCUGUAUCACAAGCCCUCUUUAAGUAUUAAAAUAUUGAAGUCUACUGUGCUGCACUAGACUUGAGAACAGACAAGAUGAGAAUCACAAAAAGGUUGUGGCUCCUGGAAUCAAGAUAAACUAAAAAGUUUUGGCUCAAUCCUGUUUUCAAGCUCUUUACUAGAAGUGUAGUGGGACAACCUAUAAAGAAGAAAUACAUUCUGCUGUCUAACUGAGACCAUCUGGACAAUUCCAAGACAAAUCCUACCUAUUCUCUAUGGUUCACUGGAGCCUAAGCUACUCAAAAAGUCAUGCAGUUUUGGGGCUGUGGAUUUUAUUUUCUUUCCCUCCUAAGACAAAAAUACCCAAAAUAUUCAAGAUGGUAUAAACCUGCACCACAGCUGUGUAAGGUGGGCAGAGAGAAUAUUUUCCACUAAAACCCUGCUACUGGAGAACUUCCAGAUCCUAAAAAGAAUUUAGGAAAAGUAAAUCACAGGACUAUCAACAUGGUGUGAAAGAAUGGAAGAUCAAGAGAAAACAGGUUUCACUUUCAGUCUCUGGAUUAGAGGGAAGCUCUUCUUGCCUCCUUUUCCUGAGGGACUGAUGGGUGUGAUGUACAAUAGUGGGUAGCCAGCAAAGACUGGCCCCCAUGUCAGGAAGAUGGAAUAGUCUCAGAGCAGUUCCAAGAAGAACUCAAUUUUAACUGAAUUUGAAGAGGACCAUAAUUAUGCCUUCAAACUUUCAGCAGGCUGUGUCAAAUACAUCAUUAAGAAGGUUCCAUGAAUACUGAGGUAUCCCUGCUCCAUGGAGCAGCCUGAGAGAGAAACAUUCUGCUAGGUCUAUGAGUUGUGCCGCCUGCAGGUCUGACCACUGGCUACCUCCUGCUACAGAGCUGCUAAGAAAGCCCAAAUUGAUGUACUUGAUCUGUGCUGAGAAUUGCAUGAUGUUCCACAAUUGCAAUGAAAGAGGCCAUUAAUUCUGCAAAAGCUACUAUAUAAUUUCACGUAGACACCUCCCAUUCAGAAAUAUAUUUCAAUUAAAUUAAUUUCUGAAUAAAAAAUUAAGUGGAGAAUUCAGUGGAUGGCACCAGGGUCAAAGUUUGCCAUUCUGGAUUCUCCUCUUUUUGCUCUUACAAAAAAAAAAAAAAGAGGAAUGAAAACGUAGUUCACUUCCACCCUAUUUUGUACAUCUUUUUUUAAAGUAUCUAUAUAAGUGAGAACAUACGAAAAAAUGGGAUUGUCACAACCAUUAGAUAAUGUUUUCCACAUCUUAGAACUAAUCCUUUUUCUUUUGCUUCUCUUAGUAUCCGAAGUGGAAAGUGAGUUCAGAAAGGUAACACUUACAUCAUGGAUUAUUUUGUUUGACUUCUGUGGAGAGGAGUAGUUUAUGUUAUUUAUUUUGUAAUAGAGUUAAUGCUAACUUGUUUUUAUGUUUGUUUGUUUUAUUUUGUUUUGCAGAUGAUGUUUUUUAGCUGCAUUCCAUAAAAGCAUUUAAGAUGAAUUACUGAUUCUUGAGAAUCUACAAUUCUGGGUGCUUUGGAAACAACAUAUGUUAGCAACAAAAAGAAAAGUGUCUUUAUCUGCAUUGUGGAAUAUUCUGAAAACAGUAAUUGUGGGAAAACUAUAUAGUGAGAUGUGCAGUUUGCACUGCUUUGGGGACGGGGACAGUUCUGCUUUUGGACAGUACAUGGGAUAAGAACAGUCUUUGAGAGGAGGCACCACCAAAAUCUGACUCUCAGUAACUUUUAUCUGGUCCCUUUCAUUAUUUCCUUAUUGCACUAUAUAUUGGAAAUGCAGAUUUUCUAUUAAAUUUCUACUCACUUUUGUACCUGCUUUCGCCACCAUGGACUACAAUAGACAAAUAAGUUAAUGACAUUUGUUCAUUCUAAGCACAUAAAUUUCAGAAACAGGUCAAUUUAUAGUCAGUCAUAAUUUUGCAAUGGAAAGCAAUGGGGAAAAGCUAUGAUCAGUACCCAAAACAUGACUUUUCUAUUUUGUAAUAUUUAUAAAUUAUAUCCUAAACCUAAAAACCAGUUUGUUUCUAUGAAAUGUGGUUAUGUAUAUUUAAUUCUUUAAAAAUUUCUUAGAGAACUAUCUUCAUCUUGGCUAUCAAAUUAUUGCUUUCUCAAAAGAUUUACUCCUUUUUUUCCUUGUUCUUAGCAAUAUAUUAGAGAAGAUAAAAUUCAGUGAAAAAAAUCUUAAGCCAAUUUCAUUUUACUUGUACUUUUAUUGCUAUUUUACAUUCAUAUUAUAAAAAUAGAAUUUAGUCUUUUAGAAAUCCUGUAGAUCCUUUGCAGACAAAAUCUUUGUUGAUAUUGCUUGAAACAAAGAUUAUAAAAUGGAGUGGUGAGAUUAGUUCUCUGUAUGUGUCUAACAGUGCCUGAUUAUUUUUCAUGCCAUGUUCUCCUAUCUGUUCAGAACACUUUUUCCACCAGUACAACUCAACAUUUGAUAUAAUUAAUAUAUAUCUCUUUUUAAAAUGAAGAGUUCAUGUUGCUUAAAUGUAUCUCUUUGGUUGGACUUUUAAUAAAAUAUUUCAA
Molecule: long non-coding RNA, 5866 nt
Organism: Lepidothrix coronata (blue-crowned manakin)
Lineage: Eukaryota; Metazoa; Chordata; Aves; Passeriformes; Pipridae
Exons: 8
Source: RefSeq, a predicted model, not a curated record